This 1349-nucleotide ribosomal RNA is filed under the name metagenome. Its description in RNAcentral is "bacterial LSU rRNA". It matches the Rfam family "Bacterial large subunit ribosomal RNA", at positions 1564 to 2925 of the family's 2925-position model. The record is from RNAcentral.
UGAGUACGAGCUGCUACGGCAGCGAAGUGGGUGAUGUCAUGCUUCCAAGAAAAGCCCUAUACCCGUUAAGGCAUGAUGGCCUGUACCCGAAACCGACACAGGUGGGGUGGUAGAGAAUACCGAGGGGCGCGAGGUAACUCUCUCUAAGGAACUCGGCAAAAUGGCCCCGUAACUUCGGGAGAAGGGGUGCCACCGCAAGGUGGUCGCAGUGAAGAGGCCCAGGCGACUGUUUACCAAAAACACAGGUCUCCGCUAAGUCGCAAGACGAUGUAUGGGGGCUGACGCCUGCCCAGUGCCGGAAGGUUAAGGAAGCUGGUCAGCGUAAGCGAAGCUAGCGACUGAAGCCCCGGUGAACGGCGGCCGUAACGAUAACGGUCCUAAGGUAGCGAAAUUCCUUGUCGGGUAAGUUCCGACCCGCACGAAAGGCGUAACGAUCUGGGCGCUGUCUCGGAGAGAGGCUCGGCGAAAUAGAAUUGUCUGUGAAGAUGCGGACUACGUGCACCCGGACAGAAAGACCCUAUGAAGCUUUACUGUAGCUUGGUAUUGUGCUCGGGCUCGGAAUGCGCAGGAUAGGUGGGAGGCUAUGAACCAUUGCUUGUGGGUGAUGGUGAGCCACUGGUGAGAUACCACUCUUUCCGAGCUAGAGUUCUAACAGCCACCCGUUAUCCGGGGGCUGGACAGUAUCAGGUGGGCAGUUUGACUGGGGCGGUCGCCUCCUAAAAGGUAACGGAGGCGCGCAAAGGUUUGCUCAGGCUGGUUGGAAAUCAGCCGACGAGUGUAAAAGCAGAAGCAAGCUUGACUGUGAGACCUACAAGUCGAACAGGGAGGAAACUCGGCUUUAGUGAUCCGACGGUUCUGCGUGGAAGGGCCGUCGCUCAACGGAUAAAAGUUACUCUAGGAUAACAGGCUGAUCUCCCCCAAGAGUUCACAUCGACGGGGAGGUUUGGCACCUCGAUGUCGGCUCAUCGCAACCUGGGGCUGAAGUCGGUCCCAAGGGUUGGGCUGUUCGCCCAUUAAAGCGGUACGCGAGCUGGGUUCAGAACGUCGUGAGACAGUUCGGUCCAUAUCCGGUGCAUGCGCAGGAAUAUUGAGAGGAUUUCUCCCUAGUACGAGAGGACCGGGAGGAACGCACCUCUGGUGUACCAGUUAUCGUGCCAACGGUAAACGCUGGGUAGCCAUGUGCGGAGAGGAUAACCGCUGAAAGCAUCUAAGUGGGAAGCCCACCUCAAGAUGAGUAUUCCCAUGGGGUAACCCAGUAAGGUCACGGGAAGAACACCCGUUGAUAGGCUCUACGUGGAAGCGCAGUAAUGUGUGAAGCGGAGGAGUACUAAUAGACCGAGGGCUUGACC